Molecule: ribosomal RNA, 253 nt
Filed under: uncultured bacterium
Lineage: Bacteria
Description: partial 16S ribosomal RNA
Rfam family: Bacterial small subunit ribosomal RNA
Source: RNAcentral
UACGUAGGACGCGAGCGUUAUCCGGAUUCACUGGGCGUAAAGCGCCUGCAGGCGGUUUCGUAAGUUGGGGGUGAAAGCCCCAGGCUUAACCUGGGGAGGCCAUUCAAUACUGCGGAGCUUGAGGACGGGAGAGGGAAGCGGAAUUCCCGGUGUAGCGGUAAAAUGCGCAGAUAUCGGGAGGAACACCAGUGGCGAAGGCGGCUUCCUGGCCCGUUCCUGACGCUCGGAGGCGAAAGCUAGGGGAGCAAACAGG